UACAGGGGGGGGCAAGCGUUGUUCGGAAUUACUGGGCGUAAAGGGCUCGUAGGCGGCCAACUAAGUCACACGUGAAAUCCCCAGGCUUAACCUGGGAACUGCGUGUGAUACUGGAUGGCUUGAAUCCGGGAGAGGGAUGCAGAAUUCCAGGUGUAGCGGUGAAAUGCGUAGAUAUCUGGAGGAAUACCGGUGGCGAAGGCGGCAUCCUGGACCGGCAUUGACGCUGAUGAGCGAAAGCUAGGGGAGCAAACGGG
This 254-nucleotide ribosomal RNA is filed under the name uncultured bacterium. Its description in RNAcentral is "partial 16S ribosomal RNA". It matches the Rfam family "Bacterial small subunit ribosomal RNA", at positions 524 to 776 of the family's 1533-position model. The record is from RNAcentral.